RNAcentral lists this unclassified non-coding RNA (343 nucleotides) under soil metagenome. RNAcentral's name for it is "partial contains 5.8S ribosomal RNA, internal transcribed spacer 2, and large subunit ribosomal RNA". The stretch from base 1 to 120 matches the Rfam family "5.8S ribosomal RNA", at positions 35 to 154 of the family's 154-position model. The record is from RNAcentral.
GAUGAAGAACGUAGCGAAAUGCGAUAAGUAAUGUGAAUUGCAGAAUUCAGUGAAUCAUCGAAUCUUUGAACGCACAUUGCGCCCGCCAGCAUUCUGGCGGGCAUGCCUGUUCGAGCGUCAUUUCAACCCUCGACUUCCCUUUGGGGAAGUCGGCGUUGGGGACCGGCCGUAUACCGCCGGCCCCGAAAUGAAGUGGCGGCCCGUCCGCGGCGACCUCUGCGUAGUAAUCCAACUCGCACCGGAACCCCGACGUGGCCACGCCGUAAAACCCCCGACUUCUGAACGUUGACCUCGGAUCAGGUAGGAAUACCCGCUGAACUUAAGCAUAUCAAUAAGCGGAGGA